This 468-nucleotide ribosomal RNA is filed under the name uncultured bacterium. RNAcentral describes it as "partial 16S ribosomal RNA". It matches the Rfam family "Bacterial small subunit ribosomal RNA", at positions 28 to 507 of the family's 1533-position model. The record is from RNAcentral.
GACGAACGCUGGCGGCGUGCUUAACACAUGCAAGUCGAACGGAAAGGCCCUGCUUUUGUGGGGUGCUCGAGUGGCGAACGGGUGAGUAACACGUGAGUAACCUGCCCUUGACUUUGGGAUAACUUCAGGAAACUGGGGCUAAUACCGGAUAGGAGCUCCUGCUGCAUGGUGGGGGUUGGAAAGUUUCGGCGGUUGGGGAUGGACUCGCGGCUUAUCAGCUUGUUGGUUGGGUAGUGGCUUACCAAGGCUUUGACGGGUAGCCGGCCUGAGAGGGUGACCGGCCACAUUGGGACUGAGAUACGGCCCAGACUCCUACGGGAGGCAGCAGUGUGGAAUAUUGCACAAUGGGCGGAAGCCUGAUGCAGCAACGCCGCGUGCGGGAUGACGGCCUUCGGGUUGUAAACCGCUUUCGCCUGUGACGAAGCGUGAGUGACGGUAAUGGGUAAAGAAGCACCGGCUAACUACGUG